UACAGAGGUCCCAAGCGUUGUUCGGAUUCAUUGGGCGUAAAGGGUGUGUAGGUGGCGCCGUAAGUCGGGUGUGAAAUCUCGGGGCUUAACUCCGAAACUGCAUUCGAUACUGCGGUGCUUGAGGACUGGAGAGGAGACUGGAAUUCAUGGUGUAGCAGUGAAAUGCGUAGAGAUCAUGAGGAAGACCAGUGGCGAAGGCGGGUCUCUGGGCAGUAACUGACGCUGAGGAGCGAAAGCGUGGGGAGCGAACAGG
Molecule: ribosomal RNA, 253 nt
Filed under: uncultured bacterium
Lineage: Bacteria
Description: partial 16S ribosomal RNA
Rfam family: Bacterial small subunit ribosomal RNA
Source: RNAcentral